Molecule: small RNA, 672 nt
Filed under: Debaryomyces hansenii
Lineage: Eukaryota; Fungi; Ascomycota; Pichiomycetes; Serinales; Debaryomycetaceae
Description: eukaryotic LSU rRNA
Rfam family: Eukaryotic large subunit ribosomal RNA (bases 88-672)
Source: RNAcentral
UGUAUUAGGUUUAUCCAACUCGUUGAAUAGUUUAAUGGUAUAUUUCUCGGUAUUCUAGGCUCGGCCUUACAAUAUAACAAACAAGUUUGACCUCAAAUCAGGUAGGAUUACCCGCUGAACUUAAGCAUAUCAAUAAGCGGAGGAAAAGAAACCAACAGGGAUUGCCUUAGUAACGGCGAGUGAAGCGGCAAAAGCUCAAAUUUGAAAUCUGGCACCUUCGGUGUCCGAGUUGUAAUUUGAAGAAGGUAACUUUGGAGUUGGCUCUUGUCUAUGUUCCUUGGAACAGGACGUCACAGAGGGUGAGAAUCCCGUGCGAUGAGAUGCCCAAUUCUAUGUAAAGUGCUUUCGAAGAGUCGAGUUGUUUGGGAAUGCAGCUCUAAGUGGGUGGUAAAUUCCAUCUAAAGCUAAAUAUUGGCGAGAGACCGAUAGCGAACAAGUACAGUGAUGGAAAGAUGAAAAGAACUUUGAAAAGAGAGUGAAAAAGUACGUGAAAUUGUUGAAAGGGAAGGGCUUGAGAUCAGACUUGGUAUUUUGCGAUCCUUUCCUUCUUGGUUGGGUUCCUCGCAGCUUACUGGGCCAGCAUCGGUUUGGAUGGUAGGAUAAUGACUAAGGAAUGUGGCUCUACUUCGGUGGAGUGUUAUAGCCUUGGUUGAUACUGCCUGUCUAGACCGA